AACAGGUGUCGGCGGCGCGCAGCAGCCGCGCAGCCCCGGCCCGGCCCCUCCGCGCAGGUAGCGCGCAAAGUCAGCCGGCGCGCUUGCCCGCGCAUGCGCAGAGGGGCGGCGGCAGACGCGGUACCUGCCGGCCCGGGGCCGGGAUGCGGCUGGAGCGCGUUUGGCAGCUGGCGUGCCGGGGUCCGUCGGGAAAGCCCGGGGCUGUGUUCUGCGUGUCUUGAGGGCACUUCGCACUUUGAAAGGGGUAAAGAAAUGGCCAUUGGUAUAAAUGGGGGGGUCUGCAAAAUCAAGGGUCGGUGCGUGUGUAGUUCUUCCUGUUUAAAAAAUACACCCUCUCUGUAAUUAAUUGCGAUGCAUGUAUGUACCCAUAGCCUUUUUUUUCCUAUGUAUGCUAUUACAUGAGACAUGACUCACAGGAUGACACAUCUGUAGAGUGGAUAAUCUCAACUGUAGUAAUUUGGUGCAGGGGAAUUUCCACAGUAUCAGACAUAAACUAUUUUCAUAAGAUCUGCUUGCUUAUUGUACUUUAACUUCAAUUUACGGGAAAUUGUGUUCUAGUGCCACUUAAGAUGCCUUUUGCUACUGAAAUUUAAGCUAUCCUGCACUAAAACCUUUAAAAUUGCAAAUACAACCAGGAAAACACAGAGCAAUGUUUUACUUCGAAGUCUUGUGUACUCAUAAUUGCACAGAACACUUCUUCGAGCCAUUUUUAGGUGGGUUUUUUUGAGAAUGCUUGUCUGGAGGAGCUUAUACAAGUUGAGUUCCAGAGGUGGGAUCCCAGUGGUGGGAUCUAGUGUUGCAUAAAACUUGUAAUUUCAAAGUAUAAAUGUGCUUCCUCUUCCUUUUUUUUCAUUUGUAGAAAGCCAACUCUGUAUAUAUUUUCUUUCCCUCACCUGUUCUUUUUGCAUGUCAUCUUGUCUCACACCUUCUGAAGACAGAUCAGAUCCAUAAGAAGAUCAGGAGAGAGCCAGACACGCGUGAUAAUUGCCACUUGGAGAUCUGGGUGACCUUUGAAUUAGGAAACCUACCACUUCAUUUGUUCUCUACCUUUCUUACAACAUGAUGCUCACCAGCCCUUCUGCUUUUCUACUUGCUCCCACAGAUAAUUCUCAUGGUCCAAAAGAAAAUGUAGUUUGUAGGGGUUUGGGUUAACCUUGGUGAUAUCAAUGCAACACUGGGAUUAGAAACCUAGAAAGAAAGAGAUUUUUUAAAAGGUUCAAGACUCCUCAAAGCUUCUGGCAUGGUAAGUGUUUCUAAUUGUUAUGGGGAGUGUCUCAAUUUAAUUUACCUCUCACCUAUACUGACACACUGACAUAAACCAACAAAUCCUGGGGUCAUUCUUUGUAAACUUCUCUAGAUUACAUUUCUUUUACUUGCUGACCCUUCCAUGUAAUGAUAUUGUUGAGUGUUUUCUUUUUCUCUCUCUGAGUUGAUAUCAGCAAAACUCAAAUUACUGUAACUGAUAUUUGAAAAUUCUCCCUGUGUCAAGUGAAGACUUACGGUGCUGAAAUCAAUAAGACUGUUUAAAAUUCAAAGACCUGCAAAUCGUUCUGUUUGUCCUUUGAUAGGGCCUGGGCUGAUUAAAAUGAGACCAAGAAAGCUUAAUUGCUGCACUAAUUAAGAAGUCUUUAAUUUCUUUCCUGGAAUAUUGUUUGAAGCAGGGUUUCUGUUCUGCUCAUGUAACUGUUCAGAGCAGGUAUUCUCUCUCUUCCUCUCUUCUUUUUUCUUUUUACCAUUUUUGUGUAUUAAAAUGCGUGUUAAAACAGUAAGAUGUAUUGACAGUGAUAGUAAUUUAUUGCUCUAAAAAAAGACUGAUAUGGAGUUCACUAUUUUAUUAAAUUACAAUUUUGAGGGCAGCUGGAAAGGGUAAAAUGCAAUUAGAAAAUGCAUUGUAGCUGUUGCAUUUUAAGGAAUUUGAAUACUUGAUUGACAGGAGAUAGGAUAGUACAUCAGCUCCCUCCCCCAUCUUCAGUUAUUAUUGAUAAUUAAAUAUUUAAAUUCAGUCAGUAAAAAACCCCAGAAAAGUAUUUAUCUUCUGAACGUGUGUGAAGGAACGGACCGGGGGAGGAGAUGCAUACAGAAAAUAGGCACCUGGUAAGGAUGAAUAGUGUAUUAUCAUGUUAAGUUCAUCCACAGUUUUUUUCCUGCAUUUCUUUGGAAUUUAUUUUCCUGAGAAAUACCUUUCUGUCUUGUAUCUUAUCUUACCCUUGUUUAGUGACCUAUUUUGUUCACCAUUCCUGAAGAGGAAAAACUAGAUGAUUUCACAAAGCUUUCUGUGUGAUCAAUAGAGUAAUGUUUUAGGUUUAAUCAUGCUGCGUUAUAAUUCUGGCAAAUGACUGCCGAGCAGAAGAUUCUAAGAAAGGAGCAAGUACUGGUGAAGAGAAGGUAAGUUCUGCUUUGCUUUAAUCUCAGGUCUCGAGCAGCAAUCCCCCUUUGAGGAGCUAUCUGUUAUUUAGAGGGAAGACUGAGAAAGAGGGAGGGACCUCAUACUGAAUCCCUCCUGCAUCACUCAGGAAAAUAGACUCAUAGAAAUUCGCCGUUCUGACUUCAGAAAAGGCGUUUCGAAGUCAGUAACUAAAACAGCCCUUCUGUCGAUCUGAGCCUCUCGGUCACGUUGCUGCUACCAGAGCCACAUGGUGAAACGGAUCGGGUCGUGUUCCCAUCCCGGGCUGGCCCGGGAUGGAUGGAUGGAUGGAUGGAUGGAACAGUGGCUGGCCACUGCCUGCUGACAUUCACCUGACAACUGACAGCCGAGCAGAAGAGCUGCAGCACGGGGAGGAAAUGAUAACCAACUUCCCUGCGUGUUUUAAAUGAGGGCUGGGAUAGACGGGGGGCCGUCUAUGGUGUUUGAGUUAGAUUUGGGCUCUCAUUAGAGGUCUUCAGUCCAACGUGCUAAUUCACCUACCAACAGGUAGGAAGAGUCGCUCGGAGCAAUAAUCAUGAAGUACAAAGCCCUUGCCAUUAAAUUAUGUUAAAGCGGUGAUCUAAUCUGAGCUGCCCUUUGCCGUGCCUUCCCCCCUUUACAGAAUUAGUUCGCUCAGCCUCUCUAUCCCUCGCUCCGAAGCCAGGCUAAUCGGAACACUGGCACCGGGGAGCCGGCCCCGAGUUCAGUGCUCCUGGCUCUCCAAUGCCGUCUCUGCCGAUGCCGGUGCUCCUCGCCCGGCAGCUGGGGGGAGCGCCUGAAUCCUCCUCCCUCCGUCCCUCCCUCGGCCCCGGCGAGUCCGCCGUGCCGCCGCCCGCGGGGCGAUGAGAGGGGAGGUGGGCGGCGAUCGGGCCCCCGCGCCCGGCCGGGCGGAGGGCGGCGGCUCGGCUGCUGCUCUAGCACUAAUUGCUUCCCUUAACAAUAAUAAUAACAACAACAAAAAAUGCACAUUGCCUUCUUCUUUUUAUAUAGGAACUGACAGCCUGCGGGACGCAGCCUCUCCUUCCUCAUGUCACUUAAGUGAAUGGAAAACAUGGAGGGGGGGGGACCUUUGUUAUUCUCCUAUUUCAAAACAACCAGACAAACAUUAUUAAUUGGUUUUUUUGGGGUGGGGGAGAGGAAGUGUUUUUAAAAGUCCGAGCCCUUGCUUGAAAAGUUUCAGCACAGAGCGGAAUUUUAUAGUUAUAAACUCUGGGUAAGAGGGGGAUGUUAUAAAUGGAAGUGCUGACACAACCUUAAGUAUAGCGUGUAAACGGCUAUGCUAUAAUAUCCAUUAAGCAGAAAGAAAAAUAAGAUGGCUGAUCAAUAAUUUAUACAAAGAGUACCAACUGCAGACAUAAUAACUGUAAUGUUUGCAAAGCAAUCUCUCGCUCUCCAGGCUUAACAGUAAACUAGCGGGGCUGUUAAUUUCCAACUCCUACAGGUAAGAGUACAAACAAAUUACUUAAACUUGUAUUUUGCUCGAUAUUUUGCAUGCCUCGGUAGGAUAAAAUACAAUUUAAUUACGAUGCAACUUGGGCUGAUUGAGGAGCCUCCGCCUCCCUCCCCCUUUCCUCCUGCUCGCCCGCCUGCUUCUCCGAAGGGACCUUCUUGGGCAAAGCUCAGCCCGAGAGACAGGAACUGAUUGCUUGGACGGGCGUUGUAAACGGGUCGACUUUUGGGUCACUGUACUUCUUCGGAGAGUUAUUCAUACACGGAAACAAAAUGAAGCCAUUUAACUUCAAAAGAAAGUUACAAGGUUUUCCAGUGCCACGAGCUGAAACACAAUACCCCCACCGGCCCGAUAAGCAUCAGCUGUCAGAGGACAAUGCACUGGCUUUCCAUGCAUCAGGCUACUGGGGAAAAAAAAAUCUGCUUUAGGGAAAACCAGUGCUUCUUCCACUAUCAUAAACGAGAAUAGGCAAGCAACUGAUCUCUUCAUUGACAUGGGAGCGUUAUCUCCCAUUUCUGUCUACUGUAUUUAGGUAGCAAAGCAGAGGAACAAAGUCUGAAAGUUGCUAAGUAGACUCCUAUAACGUGCCCAGGCUGGUUUUUUUGCAUGUCUCUUGCAAUAGUACCAAAGAGAUCACUUCUUUCUUAAAUAACAAGAGGUAAAUGUGUCAGUGGAGGACGUUUUUUGAAAAUUCUCCCCCAUGCCAGCCUGGACAAAAUACCAAAGUUAUGUUGCCAGCCACACAAAAAGAAACUCAUCUUUAAAGUGGAGUGCACAGCUCUCCGACAGCUUCAGCUGUGCUUCUUUGGGACGUCACGGGUGUUUUGUGUAGUAAAAACAGAGUAAGAAAGCCAGAGACACCUUAAUUCUGAGCCCUGAGCUGUGUCGCGGGGUGCAGCUCUACGGGGUACAGCUUAACAAAUUUAAAAUAAAUAAAUAAAAGCUGUAAUUUGCCUACAUGCCUCGUGCUUGUUACCAGUGACCUCUCCCAGUUCAGCUUCAAUCAAGUACAGUAACAUAAAUGACAGCUGUGCAGUCCGCAGGCAGACGGAGUCCUUCGCGUGAAGGCAGUGGUUCCGCCGCCCCGGCUGCCCCCGGUGCCCGGCUGGAUGCAGCGUGGAAUAUCGCUGCUGGGAGGAACGGAACGGAAAGUGCAGCGCCCACUAGUGCCCGUGCGGGCGGGGCAGCGCUCCCUCCGCGCCCCUCCGCACCCCGCGGAGAAACCCUUUCUGGGAAAGGAAAUGUGCGUGGAACUGGGGAAUGUGGUGCGGACAAAAGAAGGUUUAAGCCCAUCUGUGGCUAAAGUAAGGAUUUGUUUCUCCAUUGUCUAAGUGUAAACUUAGAAAAAGCAGAAAUGGAAAAGUUGUCUUUCCCCUGCUGCUCCCCAUCAGUCUGAGGAGGUGUGUGAAUGGGGCAAGUGUUUCACAGGCAGCAUCUUCACACUCAUAGUGAAGGGAACUGGAAGGGCUGCCUGGCUGUAAAGCCUUGAUGGGAAACAUGAACAACACCAGACACACUUCUGAGCUUUGGAUAACCCUCACCCCCCCGCCCCAACGCUUGAAAACUACAGAAGAUUUGUGAGGUAUUUCCAUUAGGACCCAUUCUUUUCUCAGGUGUUUUGAGGUUGUGUUUUGGGGCUUUGUUUAUUUUUUUUUUACACAUGAGAGACUGUUCCUGGGCAGCAUUUUGAUUUUCUUGGAGAUUGUCUGAUCUCCUUGAUGUGGAGAUGAAGAUGAACUUUGCAAGGAAGGCAACAAACAGCCCUCUGGAUAGAAGAUACCAAGCAGAUAAGCUCAAAAUAAACUUUUGCAAUGGCA
Long non-coding RNA from Corvus hawaiiensis (hawaiian crow), 5671 nucleotides. RefSeq lists it as uncharacterized. Lineage: Eukaryota; Metazoa; Chordata; Aves; Passeriformes; Corvidae. The transcript is spliced from 2 exons. The record is from RefSeq and is a predicted model, not a curated record.